AUUGAACGCUGGCGGCAUGCCUUACACAUGCCAGUCGAACGGUAACAGGGAGCUUGCUCCGCUGACGAGUGGCAAACGGGUGAGUAAUGUAUCGGAACGUACCUUUUAGUGGGGGAUAACGUAGCGAAAGUUACGCUAAUACCGCAUAUUCUCUGAGAAGGAAAGCAGGGGACCUUCGGGCCUUGCGCUAACAGAGCGGCUGAUAUCAGAUUAGCUAGUUGGUGAGGUAAAGGCUCACCAAGGCGACGAUCUGUAGCGGGUCUGAGAGGAUGAUCCGCCACACUGGAACUGAGACACGGUCCAGACUCCUACGGGAGGCAGCAGUGGGGAAUUUUGGACAAUGGGGGCAACCCUGAUCCAGCCAUGCCGCGUGAGUGAAGAAGGCCUUCGGGUUGUAAAGCUCUUUCGGCCGGGAAAAAAUCGCAUGGGUUAAUACCCUGUGUGGAUGAUGGUACCGGAAUAAGAAGCACCGGCUAACUACGUGCCAGCCGCCGCCGUAA
RNAcentral lists this ribosomal RNA (500 nucleotides) under uncultured bacterium. Its description in RNAcentral is "partial 16S ribosomal RNA". It matches the Rfam family "Bacterial small subunit ribosomal RNA", at positions 30 to 523 of the family's 1533-position model. The record is from RNAcentral.